GCCCGCAGGUUCCAGCCCCGACCCGGGCGCGCGGGGCCGACUAGGGUCGGGUCCAGUGUGCGGUGGUCGCUCCGCUCCGGGCCGCUCCGCUCUGGGCGUCAGGGCGCGGGGAGCUGCCCCGGGGUUCUGUCCACCGGGGAGGAAAGCCACGAGCACUGAGCGCCUCCUGAGAGCCAGCCCUGACGUGAACUCAUUUUAUCUGCCACGACCCAGAAGGAGUCUACUGCUAAGAUUUCAGCAUGUCCUGUGGCUGAGUUAAUCAGAGUUAUGACAGGAAGGUACCGGGCACACCAUCGCAAUGCUCCAUCAAUGCUAGUAUGUUGUGUUCUUUCCUUCAUAUCAAGUCAACUCAAGCUUGCUCUACUUACCUGGUGUACACAGUCUAAGAACUGUAAGAAGACUGGAGCAAAACCACUCCCCUGACAGUUGAGGGUCAAGCUGCUCCUCUGACUGAAUUUGUGACCAAAAGAGAGCCACUCUUUUUCAACCAACAUCUGGAAGCCUUCAAGUGUCCUAUAAAAGGGAUCACUGAGUAACUGAACCAGGGAUGUCACCUAGGGCAUAAGCAGGAUGGAUUGUCAUUAAUUUUAGUUCUGAAAAAGGCCUAUUACUAAGAUAAAAGCACUUCCUUCUGAUGAUAGCUAAUUCACAAAUUUACCUGGACAGCAAAUUUGUUCACUAACCAUUCCAGGAUGGCCAAUAAAAUUAAUUUUGUAAACUUGCCAGUAAAAACUAAAGCUCAAAUUCAUUUUGGCUACAAGUUUACUUUCAGGGAAUUGAGACUUUAAUCCUUAACUGGCCAGUUUGCUGACAGCAACCUUUUCCUAAGUUAAUCAGAGGCCAGAGGAUCAGUUAAAAUCAAUUCUACUUUUUGGCAGAUGCAGAUUAAUGUCUUAAUGUAGUCUGAACUCACACUUUUCACUCUGGAGUGAGUUAAGGCGGGGCUUAUAGAGAGCCAGGGGAUGGACUGACAAAACCCAGGAAGGAUGGUCCACGCCUCACACUGCUGGUCAAGGGCUCCAUCCGCAAGCCUGCAUGGUACAUCUGUGGAUGGGAGAGCUUGAUGCCCGGAGCCAGAGCUCCAGGCUGCGUAGGGGCUAAGAGCUCAUGGUACGGAGUUUUCUGAUGGAUACCAGGUGCUGUUUAACACAGGACUUUCUCUGUCCAUAAACACAUUAGUCAUUAUACAAAAGAGUCAUCUGAAGAAUUUAAAAAUGACCAAAUGGAAAUAUAAAUAUAAAAUAUCAAAAAAUAUGUCUAAUAGUUUACUUGUGCAGUGAUGUCCCAGCCUUCCUCCAAACAGACCAAAACUGAGGAACCAUUCUCAAGUACUUCUGAUACAACCACAGCCAGCUGCAUUAUCCUGUGAAGCUAAGAGACAGGAAGGAGAACACAAUUAGACCAAGCGCUUUCUGAGUGCAGAAGUCAGAGAGAGUUGCUUUCAACCCUGGAUAAUCAAACGACUUAGGGAUAAAGCGCUUGCACAAAAGAACCACAUAAUGUUUUAAAUACCUAAAGUUCUUUCAAAUCAAGAUUAAACAAUGACACUUUUGACUGGAUGCAAUGACUCAUGCCCAUAAUCCCAGCACUUUGGGAGGCCGAGCCGGGCAGGUCAUUUGAGGUUCGGAGUUCGAGACCAGCCUGGGCAACAUAAGCAAGACCCUGUCUCGAAAAAUAAAAAUAAAAAAGAUACUCCUAUUUGUCUAUACUGUGUACUAAAUGAGAAAAAAACUUUCAAUAUAUUUGUGCUAAGUUUUUAAAGCCACAUCAAUUGGCUCAAAGUCCUUAAUAAACAAUUAAGGUAUGAGAAUAGUAUAUAGAUUUUAAAACCAGAUGUAUAACAUUGUAAUUUUAAAAAAUAUUUUAAUGAUCAUCAGACAUAAUUUGCAAUUUGAAUCCAACUCUGAACAAGAACAAAAAUGAAAAAACCCAUCUCUUAAACAGAGCUAGGCUACUUUAAACACAGGAAUAAGGCAAAUGCCCUACUCAGUAAUGAGAAGCUCCUCAUGUAACUGUUUCUACAACAUAGCUAUCACCAGGCCUGAAUUCUUUUGGGCUCAGAAUUUGUUCUAAGAAAUGGCUAUUAUUAAAAAGUCAAAAAAUAACAGAUGCUGGCGAGCCUGUGGAGAAAAGGGAAUGUAUAUACAUUUCUGGUGGGAAUGUAAAUUAGUUCAGCCAUUGUAGAAAGUAGUUUGGUGAUUUCUCAAAUAACUUAAAACAGAAUUACCAUUUGACCUAGCAAUCCCAUUACUGAGUAUAUACCCAAAGGAAUAUAAAUUGUUCUACCAUAAAGUCACAUGCACACACAUGUUCAGUGCUGUACUAUUCACAAUAGCAAAGACAUGGAGUCAACCUAUAUGCCCAUCAACGGUAGACUGGAUAAAGAAAAUAUGGUACAUAUACACCAUGGAAUACUACACAGCCAUAAAAAGAAUGAGCUUAUGUCCUUUGCAGUAACACAGCUGAAGCAAACUAACACAGGAAUGGAAAACCAAAUACUGCAUAUUCUCACUUAUAAGUGGGAGCUAAACAUUGAGUACACAUGGACACAAAGAAAGGAAUAGACGCCUGGGGCGUAUUUGAGGUUGGAGGUGAGAGGAGGGUGAGGAUAGAAAAACUACCUAUCAGGUACUAUGCUUAUUACCUGGGUGAUGAAAUAAUCUGUACACCAAACUCCCAAGAUAUGCAAUGUACCUAUACAACAAACCUACAUAUGUACCCCUGAACACAAAAUAAAAGUUAAAAAAAGAAUUUGCUUUAAGAGUUAACUUUUAAGAUGUCAAUAUCCCAAGUGGGCAAUUAUUUUCCACUGUCUUUAGUCCCUAUCUUUUGGUACAGGUCCACUUUCUAGCAAAGAGUAGAGCACAGAAUGUAUCAGAAACAUGGAUAGAUAAGUUGGGUGGAGGGGUCCGUUUGGAGCUGGGGCUCAUAGCCUGGGGACAGAAGGGAGUAUCGACCAGUUCCUUCCACGGGUAUGCAAAGCACCCUAAAUUGCCUUAAUAAUAAUGAACACAGCAUGAUACAUUUAUAGCCAAAUAUUUAUGUGGCGGCAUUUCUCUUUGGUUUAAGUAUCUUGAGAACAGUCACAGCCCUGAGUACUGACAUCAUUUCCUUUUUUUUUUUUUGCCUUUUAGUCCAAUGUGCUGUGGGAAACAAGAGGCAGGAUGCUUGGAGGUAGAUGGAGGCAGGGGACUGGGAAUUUCUGCAAGGUGAUAACAAAUAAUGGGGGCCAGGCGUGGCAGCUCAUGCCUGUAAUCACAGCUCUUUGGGAGGUCAAGGUGGGAGGAUUACUUGAGGCCAGGAGUUCAAGACCAGCCUGGGCAAUAUAAGAAAUAAAGGGGCUUAAAGACAAGGCCCUUUAAUUUCUCAAUAAAAGUUCAAUUAAGAAUAUCCCAAAGUUGACUGAACUGAAAGAUGAUAGACACUGUGUUUUUUUUUCAAGCCUUAGGUAGGCUUGGGGGCAUCCAGUGUGCCUUUGGUGGGUAGUGUGGGGUGGAUCUAAAAUCUAGAGACCUGGGAUAGGCAGACAAAUGAAAGGUGAGAGCUCUUGGGAGUCAUGCAGAAGUUGCCCUCUGCCCUGGAUCCUUACUGUAUUGACAACAGAGCAGGAGCCCUGUAAAUACAUGCUGAUUAAAUUUACAUCAAAGAUUUCCAUCUAAAAAUAAUUUUCUCCUUAGUGUCCUAUAGAUACCAAACUUUUAAAUACACAGAGAUAAAAACCCAGCGAUCAAGACUUCUACUCCCUCACCUCCUAUACCAGAUGAUUUCCUUAGUCUGAAAGGCCUUUACUGAUGGCACACAAUGAAGGAGGAGAAUGUUGGGGAGUAGGGGAACAAAGUAUUUUUUUUCUCAAAUACAGUUCUGUAUAUCUACUUGGGCCUCUGUUUCUUUGAGUUAUAAAGAAAGAAGCUGCUUCAGACAUUACCUGUGGGAACCACUCAGAAUCUCCCAGCGCUUUCAGGAAGGUCACUUCUGAGUCAGUAGGGAUGGUGCUUGGGAUACAAGCCCUCAUCAGCUUCUUAAAACUGGCUUUCACUUGCCGGAUUUCAUGAAAUUCAACAGGAACAAACUCACAAUUUAAAGCAAAUUCUACCUUGAAGUUCUGCGGAUGAAGAUUCAGAGAAUUAGGCAGAUGAAGUGCUAUAGGUAAAAGAGUGAUGUUUCCAAUGGGGCAGUGCAUAAUGACAAAGUUAUUUGGGGCCAAAUAGCUGCAGAGGCUGCCAAUGGGUCAAGAAAGUCAAUCUUGUACAGCAAUGUGUCAGUGUUGGUGGGAACAGCCAUUCAGUACAAGCUAGUGGUUUGCCCAGAAUGGCAAAUCUAGUCCUUACUAGAGGUAGAUUACUUAGCCUAAGAAUGCGUUCAUUCUGAGAACUGGAAGAGCCUACUGGUAGACUGGAACUUGAUGGAGCUCAUAAUACCAAAUAUAAGUCAAUUAUAAGGCCAUGAACCUGGAAGUUUAAAGAGAAACUAAUGAUACAUGGACAGUAUGAUUACUCCAACAGUGUAAACUAAGUCUUCCCAAGAUGUAUAUGGUAAGGGAUAGGUAACACACUGUUGGAGUUCCAGACUGUACGUGUAUUAAAGUUUGUAGAUAUGCACAUAUUUGUUUCUUAUUAUGCAAGUAAAACAUAUUCAUAAUAAAAAUGAAAAAAGGUAGAGAUAAAUAUUGAGAAAGAAAUAGAAAUCACUUUCUUACUGCCCCAAGACUACCAACAUUGUGGUUAUUUUUUUGUUUUUUUGGGAUGGAGUCUUGCUCUGUCACCCAGGCUGGAGCGCAAUGGUGCGAUCUUGACUGACUGCAACCUCCGCUUCCCAGGUUCAAGCGAUUCUCCUGCCUCAGCCUCCCGAGUAGCUGGGACUACAGUCGUGCGCCACCAUACCCAGUUAAUUUUUGCAUUUUUAGUAGAGAUGGGCUUUCACCAUGUUGCCCAGGAUGGUCUCAAUCUUUUGACCUUGUGAUCCGCCCACCUCGGCCUCCCAAAGUGCUGAGAUUACAGGCGUGAGCCACCACGCCCAGUCCUACUUCUUAAAAGUCAAUAAUAAAAAAUUACAUGGUCGGGCACGGUGGCUCAUGACUGUAAUCUCAGCAGUCUGGAAGGCUGAGGCAGACAGAUUACCUGAGGUCAGGAGUUCAAGACCAGCCUGGCCAACACGGUGAAAUCCCAUCUCUACUAAAAAUACAAAAAGUAGCCAGGCGUGGUGACAGGCACCUGUAAUCGCAGCUACUCGGGAGGCUGAGGCAGGAGAAUCACUUGAACCCCGGAGAUGGAGGUUGCAGUGAGCUGAGAUGACACCACUGCACUCCAGCGUGGGCAGCAGAGUGAGACUCCACCUUAAAAAAAAAAAUUACAUAAAAAAACCACGAAAGGCUUUGUUCAUUUCUAUCUUUGGGAUAAUAUUUUUUCACUUAAUAUAUGUAUCAACCUAUAUUUAUUUGAGUACUUUCUCAUUUACAUCUUUAAUCCUUAUGGAAUUUAUUUUGUGUGUGGUAUGAGUGUUGCAUUUGCAAUUAAAGAAUGCUAUACUGA
RNAcentral lists this long non-coding RNA (5528 nucleotides) under Homo sapiens (human). RNAcentral's name for it is "HSALNT0361300". Lineage: Eukaryota; Metazoa; Chordata; Mammalia; Primates; Hominidae. The record is from RNAcentral.